CACGUAGGGCGCAAGCGUUGUCCGGAAUUAUUGGGCGUAAAGAGCUCGUAGGCGGUUUGUCGCGUCGGCUGUGAAAACCCGGGGCUCAACCCCGGGCCUGCAGUCGAUACGGGCAAACUAGAGUGUGGUAGGGGAGACUGGAAUUCCUGGUGUAGCGGUGAAAUGCGCAGAUAUCAGGAGGAACACCGGUGGCGAAGGCGGGUCUCUGGGCCAUAACUGACGCUGAGGAGCGAAAGCGUGGGGAGCGAACAGG
This 253-nucleotide ribosomal RNA is filed under the name uncultured bacterium. RNAcentral describes it as "partial 16S ribosomal RNA". It matches the Rfam family "Bacterial small subunit ribosomal RNA", at positions 524 to 776 of the family's 1533-position model. The record is from RNAcentral.